Molecule: RNA transcript, 2081 nt
Organism: Pimephales promelas (fathead minnow)
Lineage: Eukaryota; Metazoa; Chordata; Actinopteri; Cypriniformes; Leuciscidae
Gene: mnx2b
Gene name: motor neuron and pancreas homeobox 2b
Source: RefSeq, a predicted model, not a curated record
CAAGCAGCCAAUCAGCGCUCACAAAGGCGUUAUGACUGCGAUGUGAACGCGCGGAGAGGUUCAGAGAGCAGGGUAGAUGACAGAGAUACUGUUCUAAACAAGAGACCGCCGUGUUAAAGAACGAUUUAGCGAUAGUGUAUCCUUUAUGGGCGCGUUUUCUUUCGUGUGCGUAAAAGUUUAGAGAUACUUUAUUAACUACUCUCAUGGGCUGAGUUCCAAAUAUCAUUUAGACUGAACUCUACAUAUCCCACGAGUUAAAAUAGAGCAGAAAGUAUCACUAAUCGUGUUUAAAACGCAUGUUUCUGUGCGUAAAACACAGCUAUCCAAGUGUUUUCCUGCAACUCCAAACAACCUAGAAGCGUUGCAAUGGAAAAAUCAAAGAACUUCAGGAUCGACGCUCUUCUGGCUGAAGAACCACAUCGAGGGACACGAGAAGUAUCACCUGGACUGAGCAGCGACAGCCCGACUGGUAGUCCGGUGUCCUGCAGGCGCGCAGACACUCCGUCCCCCUGCGCCAUACACCUCCAAACCGGAAUCAUACCUAAACCAGGGCUGCUCAAUCUCCCACACCCGGGACUCACUUCACUUCCAGGCAUGUACACGACGCCCAUGUACCCCAUUUCAGCGUUGGGAGGUCAGCACCCCGCCCUGGCGUACUCGGGUUUUACGCAGCUGACGCACCCGUACCCGGAGCAACUGAAGGCGGCGGCGAUGGCCGGGUCUUUACCGCUGGAGCACUGGAUACGAGCCGGCAUCAUGGUACCACGACUGCCCGAUUACACCUGUGAGUGGGGUAGCAUGCAGAUGACCGCCCCCCAGUCCGGUUUGAUGGGUAAAUGUCGAAGGCCACGGACAGCAUUCACCAGUCAACAACUACUGGAGCUGGAAAACCAGUUUAAACUUAACAAGUACCUUUCCAGACCCAAACGCUUCGAAGUGGCCACAUCACUCAUGCUGACCGAGACACAGGUCAAGAUCUGGUUCCAGAACCGGCGAAUGAAGUGGAAACGCAGUCGUAAGGCUAAAGAACAGGCCGCGCAGGUCGAGGUCGAACGCCAACGCGGGGGAAGCAAACCGACCAAUGAGAGACCAGGACGGGACGGUCGCAGGGCUCUCGCUCAGAGUGUGGAGGAGCACGAGGAAGAGGACGAACUCGACGAGGACGAGGAAGACGAUGAGGAAGGGCCACACAAGUUCAUAAACGACACCCUGAAUGUUGCACGUUCCACAGACUUUCUGCACCACGCGUCUGCGUUAGGAUACCACGCCGACAGCCCCUUCUCCGAGGACGACAUGGAGGAGGUGGGAGGCGGAGACAGGAAGAUCGGGGCAGGGUUAUGAGACGAUUUCCAAAUGGAAACUGAGACUGCAUGAACUCGCGUCCUGUGCUGUGGUCUGACUAUGGCAAUGAUUUUAAAAAGAAGUAUUACCAUUGGGAAACAUCGAUAUGCUCUGGAUGGUGAACUUGAUCUUCAGCUUCCAUGUCCAGGUCAAAAAGUGUGUGAUGUGCUGUUUCGAGUGGCCAGUAGUCCUCCACAAUCCACUGCAAACUUCAUUCUGGUAUGAAACGAAAACCCAAUCAACUCCUGAGGCUGCACGGAUACACUGAUUAUGUUCCAAAACGUAAUUUAUACAUUUAAAAUGUAUGCAGUUUCAUGUGGUGCCAAAGCAAAACAACAAAAUCAGUUUGAAAUUCAUUGUUUUAAAGUUGAUUAAUGCUUGGUUUGUUUAAAGGUACGACAUGCAUAUUGUCUAAAAUAUUUAUUUGCAUUAAAAUAUGCUGAAUAUGUGUUUCUCUGACUUCUCCCCACCUGUGUGAUGUAAGAGAGCUGGAGGCAUGAUUCUUUCUAAAUGUCAUGUUUACAUGUGGCUCAGUGUUUGUUCAUGUUAAUGUUAUUUAAAAGCAAGUUUAAGUCUGUGUAAUUUAUUUCCAUUGAAUGAUGCAAGGGAGGUUGAUGCACAGUAUAAUAAUGUUAUAUAUGUCUGCGUUGCUGUAAAUUGCUGCAAAUAAACCAAAAGAAAAACAAAAGUGUGACAAUGAUUCUUCAAAAUCUGAAUAAAGCUCCCUUCAGAGGCAUCAA